GAUGAACGCUGGCGGCGUGCCUAAUACAUGCAAGUCGAACGGAGGAUGUAGCAAUACUUCCUCAGUGGCGAACGGGUGAGUAACGCGUUGGUGACCUGCCCCAAAGUGGGGGAUAACAGCCCGAAAGGGUUGCUAAUACCCCAUGUUGUCAUCGGGAUCAGAUGCCUGAUGACCAAAGGAGUAAUCCGCUUUGGGAGGGGCCUGCGUGCCAUCAGCUAGUUGGUAGGGUAAUGGCCUACCAAGGCUGUGACGGGUAGGGGACCUGAGAGGGUGACCCCCCACAAUGGAACUGAAACACGGUCCAUACACCUACGGGUGGCAG
This 322-nucleotide ribosomal RNA is filed under the name uncultured Chloroflexota bacterium. RNAcentral describes it as "bacterial SSU rRNA". It matches the Rfam family "Bacterial small subunit ribosomal RNA", at positions 28 to 351 of the family's 1533-position model. Lineage: Bacteria; Bacillati; Chloroflexota. The record is from RNAcentral.